This 68-nucleotide transfer RNA is filed under the name Crossorhombus valderostratus (broadbrow flounder). Its description in RNAcentral is "tRNA-Glu". It matches the Rfam family "tRNA". Rfam says of the family: Transfer RNA (tRNA) molecules are approximately 80 nucleotides in length. Their secondary structure includes four short double-helical elements and three loops (D, anti-codon, and T loops). The record is from RNAcentral. Lineage: Eukaryota; Metazoa; Chordata; Actinopteri; Pleuronectiformes; Bothidae.
GUUACUGUAGUUGAAUACAACGGUGGUUUUUCACUUCACUGGUCUCGGUUAAAAUCCGGGCAGAAACU